Molecule: ribosomal RNA, 461 nt
Filed under: uncultured bacterium
Lineage: Bacteria
Description: SSU rRNA
Rfam family: Bacterial small subunit ribosomal RNA
Source: RNAcentral
AGAAUCAACGCUGGCGGCGUGCCUAACACGUGCAAGUCGCACGAGAAAGGGGAGCAAUCCCUGAGUACAGUGGCGCACGGGUGAGUAACACGUGAAUCAUCUACCUCCGAGUGGGGAAUAACUGAGAGAAAUCUUAGCUAAUACCGCAUAAUACCCACGGGUCAAAGCAGCAAUGCGCUUGGAGAGGAGUUCGCGGCAGAUUAGUUAGUUGGCGGGGUAAUGGCCCACCAAGACGAUGAUCUGUAUCCGGCCUGAGAGGGCGCACGGACACACUGGAACUGAAACACGGUCCAGACUCCUACGGGAGGCAGCAGUGGGGAAUUUUGCGCAAUGGGGGAAACCCUGACGCAGCAACGCCGCGUGGAGGAUGAAGCCCCGUUGGGGUGUAAACUCCUUUCGAUCGGGAAGAUAAUGACGGUACCGAUAUAAGAAGCCCCGGCUAACUUCGCGCCAGCAGCCGC